This 35-nucleotide transfer RNA is filed under the name Rinorea bengalensis. RNAcentral describes it as "partial tRNA-Phe". Lineage: Eukaryota; Viridiplantae; Streptophyta; Magnoliopsida; Malpighiales; Violaceae. RNAcentral also lists the same sequence under 43 other names. The record is from RNAcentral.
UGGUCGGGAUAGCUCAGCUGGUAGAGCAGAGGACU